RNAcentral lists this ribosomal RNA (270 nucleotides) under uncultured bacterium. RNAcentral's name for it is "partial 16S ribosomal RNA". It matches the Rfam family "Bacterial small subunit ribosomal RNA", at positions 28 to 290 of the family's 1533-position model. The record is from RNAcentral.
GACGAACGCUGGCGGCGUGCCUAAUACAUGCAAGUCGAACGAGGUUCAACCGGUGGCAACACUGGUGAAGACCGAGUGGCGAACGGGUGAGUACCACGUGAGCAACCUGUCCCGAAGACUGGGAUAACACCGGGAAACCGGUGCUAAUACCAGAUGCCCUCACGAGAUCGCAUGGUCAUGUGAGGAAAUGGAUUCCGCUUCGGGAGGGGCUCGCGGCCUAUCAGUUUGUUGGUGGGGUAACGGCCUACCAAGACAUCGACGGGUAGCUGG